UACGUAGGGUGCAAGCGUUGUCCGGAAUUAUUGGGCGUAAAGGGCUCGUAGGCGGUUUGUCACGUCGGGAGUGAAAACUCGGGGCUCAACCCCGAGCCUGCUUCCGAUACGGGCAGACUAGAGGUAUGCAGGGGAGAAUGGAAUUCCUGGUGUAGCGGUGAAAUGCGCAGAUAUCUGGAAGAACACCGGUGGCGAAGGCGGCCUUCUGGACGGUGACUGACGCUGAGACGCGAAAGCGUGGGGAGCAAACAGG
This 253-nucleotide ribosomal RNA is filed under the name uncultured bacterium. RNAcentral describes it as "partial 16S ribosomal RNA". It matches the Rfam family "Bacterial small subunit ribosomal RNA", at positions 524 to 776 of the family's 1533-position model. The record is from RNAcentral.